RNAcentral lists this long non-coding RNA (1378 nucleotides) under Populus tremula. RNAcentral describes it as "long non-coding RNA (PTRE_LNC002049)". The record is from RNAcentral. Lineage: Eukaryota; Viridiplantae; Streptophyta; Magnoliopsida; Malpighiales; Salicaceae.
AGGAUAAUGCUAUAAAAAAACACUAGCAAAUUAGAAACAUAUUAUAGUCAGUGAAUAAAAUCUUUAGCUACAAUGUCAUAUUUCUGAAGGAGGUUUUGGUGAUUUGUUUUUAAUUGAAAUAGCCGUUUUUAUUUUAUUUUAAUGAAUAUAUAUAUAUAUAUUCAAAUUGAAUUACUUGUAGGCUCGUCUUUAUUGAUGUUCAAACUGUGGAGUGAAUUUUUAUAAAAAAAGAAAAAACAAUGGAGUGCAUCAUGGCUAAUUAUUACAAACCUUACAUUUCAAUUGUUCUAAGUAUUAAGUAAUAUUUAAGGUUUCACAUAGCAAGCAUAUAUGUAUGACAGUAUGAGUAUCAACUAUCAACAUAGGAGAAACACAAGAUUAUACGACAGAAAGGGAUGUUGAAACUCAAAAUAUUCCGAAACGCAAAACCUGGCCUGACAAAGCUGGUAAAGAAAUUAAAGAAAUAAACCAAACUGUGGGCCAAAAGCAAAAACCAUGGGCAAAAACCAUGGACAAGUCAACUCCUCUCAAAGCAGUUAAUUAAGAUAUACCCCCUUGGCAUUUUCUGUUUGCCAGGUAACGUUGAUCAUACGAUCUGUAUGAACAACAUCUCAACUUCUCACAGCCUGCCAGGUAAUGUUUUCUUAAUCUUCCCUUCUAUUUCUCGAGAAGUUAAUGGCAGGUGUCACUUUGCCCUCAUAUACACGAUGGAUUUAGCAUGAAUAUUCUUCACCGGACCCCUUGAAGGGCCCUCUCUGUUUUUCACCCUAACUCUGCUUCUCGGCUUUUACGGGUUUUUAUUUGUGUUUUAUAGAAGGUGAUAUAGCCAGGAAGCAGACAACAUGAAUAUCUAAAAAACAAAUCAAACUGUGAUCUUAUGCUUUGUUGAUAUGUCUGCUUCAACUUGACCCAACUUGGUCUCUACACGGCUGACCUCUGCUAGAACACAUGCCACGCUGUUUCUACAUAUAUAUAUAUAUAUAAGCAUUUCUUCUAGCAGAAAACCAUACGUUAAUCAUGAAAUACACAAGAUGAAAUUUACCUUGUUGUCGUUGCUAAAAUGAAGAACCCUGAAAGAUGGAGACGGUUUCUAGGAAAGAUGAAGAUGGAGACGGUUUCUGGAAAAUAAAAAUAUGAAGAUGAAGAUGGAAUAGACUUGGAAAUUUAGAAAAUACUUUUAAAAUUCAAACCCAUGAAACAAAGAAUCAAAGAAGAUGGAAAUUAGUUAUUUACCUUACUGUCGUUGCUUCAAUGAAGAAGGUUUAUGGGAAAGGAAGAUUGUGAAUUAAUUAUUGAGGAAGAUUGGGUUUUUGAUGGAAAUGGGAAGGAAGAUGAGGACGGUUUUGUGAUUGUGAGAGAACUGAGAUGAGAAUAUGUU